Molecule: transfer RNA, 71 nt
Filed under: Ancylostoma caninum (dog hookworm)
Lineage: Eukaryota; Metazoa; Nematoda; Chromadorea; Rhabditida; Ancylostomatidae
Rfam family: tRNA
About the family: Transfer RNA (tRNA) molecules are approximately 80 nucleotides in length. Their secondary structure includes four short double-helical elements and three loops (D, anti-codon, and T loops). Further hydrogen bonds mediate the characteristic L-shaped molecular structure. tRNAs have two regions of fundamental functional importance: the anti-codon, which is responsible for specific mRNA codon recognition, and the 3' end, to which the tRNAs corresponding amino acid is attached (by aminoacyl-tRNA synthetases). tRNAs cope with the degeneracy of the genetic code in two manners: having more than one tRNA (with a specific anti-codon) for a particular amino acid; and 'wobble' base-pairing, i.e. permitting non-standard base-pairing at the 3rd anti-codon position.
Source: Rfam by way of RNAcentral
GCCUCUAUAGCUCAGUGACAGAGCGUCUGUCUUGUAAACAGAAGGUCUGUGAUUCAAUCCUCACGGAGCUA